CUUGGUUUGGUGAUCAUAGCGCCAAUGAAACACCCGAUCCCAUCCCGAACUCGGAAGUUAAGCAUGGUCGCGCCGAUGGUACUGCAGCUCAAGCUGUGGGAGAGUAGGUCAUCGCCAAUCCUAGAUAGAUUAAUAUCUCUCAGACGAUAACAAU
This 154-nucleotide ribosomal RNA is filed under the name uncultured Roseobacter sp. Lineage: Bacteria; Pseudomonadati; Pseudomonadota; Alphaproteobacteria; Rhodobacterales; Roseobacteraceae. The record is from RNAcentral.